This 267-nucleotide unclassified non-coding RNA is filed under the name plant metagenome. Its description in RNAcentral is "partial contains small subunit ribosomal RNA, internal transcribed spacer 1, and 5.8S ribosomal RNA". The record is from RNAcentral.
UCUCCGUUGGUGAACCAGCGGAGGGAUCAUUACCGAGUUUACAACUCCCAAACCCAAUGUGAACGUUACCAAACUGUUGCCUCGGCGGGAUCUCUGCCCCGGGCGCGUCGCAGCCCCGGACCAAGGCGCCCGCCGGAGGAAAAACAACCAAAACUCUUUUGUAUACCCCCUCGCGGGUUUUUUAAAUGCUUUCUGAGCCUUCUCGGCGCCCCUAGCGGGCGUUUCGAAAAUGAAUCUAAACUUUCAACAACGGAUCUCUUGGUUCUG